Molecule: long non-coding RNA, 214 nt
Organism: Mytilus californianus (California mussel)
Lineage: Eukaryota; Metazoa; Mollusca; Bivalvia; Mytilida; Mytilidae
Exons: 3
Source: RefSeq, a predicted model, not a curated record
GAAAUAAUUCCAAUCGCUAGAAACAAAGAAUUCUUAAAAAUGAUGAGGUUCCAGACCAUAUUCUUGUUGAUGGCAUUGACCACAAUGACAGUAACUGCCUAUUCACCAACAGAAAAGCAUGCAUUAGACAAACAUGGAGUGAAGAAGAUUUUACAGGUCGAAAACACAGUUGGGAGAGACAUAAACGGGCGUAGUGGUGCUGGAUCCCUUUCUG